AACGAACGCUGGCGGCAGGCCUAACACAUGCAAGUCGAACGCCGUAGCAAUACGGAGUGGCAGACGGGUGAGUAACGCGUGGGAACAUACCCUUUGGUUCGGGAUAACUCAGGGAAACUUGAGCUAAUACCGGAUACGUUCGCGAGAAGAAAGAUUUAUCGCCGAAGGAUUGGCCCGCGUCUGGUUAGCUAGUUGGUGUGGUAACGGCGCACCAAGGCGACGAUCAGUAGCUGGUCUGAGAGGAUGAUCAGCCACAUUGGGACUGAGACACGGCCCAAACUCCUACGGGAGGCAGCAGUGGGGAAUAUUGGACAAUGGGCGCAAGCCUGAUCCAGCCAUGCCGCGUGAGUGAUGAAGGCCUUAGGGUUGUAAAGCUCUUUUACCU
Molecule: ribosomal RNA, 385 nt
Filed under: uncultured bacterium
Lineage: Bacteria
Description: bacterial SSU rRNA
Rfam family: Bacterial small subunit ribosomal RNA
Source: RNAcentral